Molecule: ribosomal RNA, 213 nt
Filed under: Citrobacter braakii
Lineage: Bacteria; Pseudomonadati; Pseudomonadota; Gammaproteobacteria; Enterobacterales; Enterobacteriaceae
Description: partial 23S ribosomal RNA
Rfam family: Bacterial large subunit ribosomal RNA
Source: RNAcentral
GGGUUGUGAGGUUAAGCGACUAAGCGUACACGGUGGAUGCCCUGGCAGUCAGAGGCGAUGAAGGACGUGCUAAUCUGCGAUAAGCGUCGGUAAGGUGAUAUGAACCGUUAUAACCGGCGAUUUCCGAAUGGGGAAACCCAGUGUGAUUCRUCACACUAUCAUUACGUGAAUACAUAGCGUAAUGAAGCGAACCGGGGGAACUGAAACAUCUAA